Molecule: ribosomal RNA, 800 nt
Filed under: uncultured bacterium
Lineage: Bacteria
Description: bacterial SSU rRNA
Rfam family: Bacterial small subunit ribosomal RNA
Source: RNAcentral
AGAGUUUGAUCAUGGCUCAGGAUAAACGCUGGCGGCGCACAUAAGACAUGCAAGUCGAACGAACUUAACUCAUUCUUUUAGUUUGAGAGCGGUUAGUGGCGGACUGGUGAGUAACACGUAAGCAACCUGCCUAUUAGAGGGGAAUAACAGUGAGAAAUCAUUGCUAAUACCGCAUAUGCUAACAGUAUCGCAUGAUACAGUUAGGAAAGGAGUAAUCCGCUAAUAGAUGGGCUUGCGCCUGAUUAGCUAGUUGGUGGGGCAAUGGCCUACCAAGGCGACGAUCAGUAGCCGGACUGAGAGGUUGAACGGCCACAUUGGGACUGAGAUACGGCCCAGACUCCUACGGGAGGCAGCAGUCGGGAAUAUUGCGCAAUGGAGGAAACUCUGACGCAGUGACGCCGCGUAUAGGAAGAAGGUUUUCGGAUUGUAAACUAUUGUCGUUAGGGAGGGUACAAGACAGUACCUAAGGAGGAAGCCCCGGCUAACUAUGUGCCAGCAGCCGCGGUAAUACAUAGGGGGCAAGCGUUAUCCGGAAUUAUUGGGUGUAAAGGGUGCGUAGACGGAGGAGCAAGUUGGUUGUGAAAUCCCUCGGCUUAACUGAGGAACUGCAACCAAAACUACUUCCCUUGAGUGUCGGAGAGGAAAGUGGAAUUCCUAGUGUAGCGGUGAAAUGCGUAGAUAUUAGGAGGAACACCAGUGGCGAAGGCGACUUUCUGGACGAUAACUGACGUUGAGGCACGAAAGUGUGGGGAGCAAACAGGAUUAGGUACCCUGGUAGUCCACACCGUAAACGAUGGAUA